AAUUUAAUAAUUUAAAAUUAAAAUUAUAAUUUGCAAAAUUAUACUUAUCAUUAGUGAUUUAAAUUU
RNAcentral lists this transfer RNA (66 nucleotides) under Anisopteromalus calandrae. Its description in RNAcentral is "tRNA-Cys". The record is from RNAcentral. Lineage: Eukaryota; Metazoa; Arthropoda; Insecta; Hymenoptera; Pteromalidae.